This 253-nucleotide ribosomal RNA is filed under the name uncultured bacterium. RNAcentral's name for it is "partial 16S ribosomal RNA". It matches the Rfam family "Bacterial small subunit ribosomal RNA", at positions 524 to 776 of the family's 1533-position model. The record is from RNAcentral.
UACGUAGGGAGCAAGCGUUGUUCGGAUUUACUGGGCGUAAAGGGCGCGUAGGCGGCGCGGUAAGUCACUUGUGAAAUCUCUGAGCUUAACUCAGAACGGCCAAGUGAUACUGCAGUGCUAGAGUGCAGAAGGGGCAAUCGGAAUUCUUGGUGUAGCGGUGAAAUGCGUAGAUAUCAGGAGGAACACCGAUGGCGAAGGCAGUUCUCUGGGCCGUAACUGACGCUGAGGAGCGAAAGCGUGGGGAGCGAACAGG